GGAAGUAAAAAACAAGGUCUCCGUUGGUGAACCAGCGGAGGGAUCAUUACCGAGUUUACAACUCCCAAACCCAAUGUGAACCAUACCAAACUGUUGCCUCGGCGGGGUCACGCCCCGGGUGCGUCGCAGCCCCGGAACCAGGCGCCCGCCGGAGGGACCAACCAAACUCUUUCUGUAGUCCCCUCGCGGACGUUAUUUCUUACAGCUCUGAGCAAAAAUUCAAAAUGAAUCAAAACAUUCAACAGCGGAUCUCUUGGUUCUG
Molecule: unclassified non-coding RNA, 262 nt
Filed under: plant metagenome
Description: partial contains small subunit ribosomal RNA and internal transcribed spacer 1
Source: RNAcentral